RNAcentral lists this long non-coding RNA (16445 nucleotides) under Citrus sinensis (sweet orange). RNAcentral describes it as "long non-coding RNA (CSIN_LNC002434)". Lineage: Eukaryota; Viridiplantae; Streptophyta; Magnoliopsida; Sapindales; Rutaceae. The record is from RNAcentral.
GACAAUGGCUAUGUGGAUGUGACUUAGAUCUGAAGAACUGUUUUCCCUUGCUUCUUCAAGCAUAUUUUGUAUGUUAUGGCACAUUGUGACUGUUAAUUUUGUACUAAUAAAAAGGAAUAAUGACGUAUAUACAAUAAUUAGUACAAUAAAUAGCAUAAAAUUUAUAAGAGAGAAGAAAUUUAAAAAGUAUCUUGCAGUAUUUUUUAUUAUUAAUUAUUAUUAUUAUUAUUAUUAUUUGUGUAGUGAAAUUUUUUGGUUCUCUGUGUACUAAGUGUAAUACUAAGCUAAAAUGUGUGGUAAUUUCCGUAAAGAGUUUUGGGUGAGGAUCGAUUAUUACUAUUUUUGAACAAAGUCUAGAUGGUAAUUACUAAGCAAUCUGCGGGAUCGCAAGUUGGAUACUAACCAAGCGACCUUAUAAUGAUUGACAAUAAUAUGAGCAAAUAGGACAUGACAAUAUAAUAUGAGCAAAUCAUUUAAAACUUAUACUAUUAGGCAGCAAAUUGCCUGCACAAGUUUUUUGGAGUCAGCAAAUUGCCUGUAAUAGGUUUUCGGAGUCGAGGGGAGCAUGCACGUGCAAACGUAAGUCCAUUUUGGUUCUUGAUGCCAACUUCACGAACUAAAAAUACAACUGACUUGAGAACGAAAAGUUUUUAUUAUUGCAAAGUGGAUGCCAAAAACAACUAUAGGAAACAAGUACGAUUUGAAAACCGUAUGAUAUAAUUUUCACUAACGUAUACAGAGAUUAACAUCACUAGUAGCUAUACAUCAUAACUCAGUAACUGAAACUCAACUCAUCAUCUACCACGGACUAGGAUUCACCCAACAAGGUGGUGGCAGAAUCUUGAGCUGAUGAGUAUGUAAAAAUGACUCAACAUUUCUGUUCUCCAAGCUAAAAACUCCCAUGUCGUGUCCGGCGUACAAAUAAUCUUCAUCCAUUCGAUCCCAAUAAUCAUCUGUAAAGUAAAUCGAAUUCUGUUUGUAUAUAGUAGAAGAUGAAGAUAUUGAGACUGAUGUGGAUUGAUUUGCACCCAAAAACAGCGAUUCGUCGCCCAAAGAACCUACCUCCACCCAACUCUUCUGACCCAAAUCCAGCUUAUAGACAUGAAAGACUAGAGUUUUGUAUGGACAAACCAAAGGGUGCGUGUCUUCUUCAGUCAACAAAUCAUGCUCAUGAACAGGCUCAUCAUCUGCAUUUACUAGCUCUCCUACAAAUCUCGCUGCAAGCAUAGUAUCUCCCUUUGUUGACUGCACCAAGUACAAUCUAGCAUUAUAAAGAUCUCUGAAUUCACCCCAAAACUGCCCUGAUUUCUCUGGAUAACUCACCUCAACCUCCAUUGUUUUAAUUGGCUUGUUCAAUCCAUCAAAAUCCUAACAUUCGACUGAAGCGUUGCUGCCAAUUGCAUAAAGCUGAUUUCUGCUGCAUAUGAUGUCUUCAUAAGGCUGAUGCUUGCCAUCAAGGUCAGUCCAGGAAUUAUCUCCAUUCUGGCAGUAAGCAAUCUUCUUUUUAUGGCCACAAAUGACCACUGCUCCAAAGUUGUUGAUGUUGAGACACGGGUCGGAUGAAAGAAUUGCUUUGUGGAUGAGACUUUCACGCAAAUUAUUCAUGUAACGAAUUGGGUUCUUCUGAUAAUCAUAAGUGAUGUAGUAUCCGUUUUCUUGAGAUUUCUCAAUGUCGAGUACACCAAGAAGAGGACCAAUGCAAGGAAGCUGUGCAUGACGAAUCCGCAGAGAAGGGUUAAAGAGCAAAGGAAAAGCUCUUUCAUCCAAGAAAAUCAGCCAACCGUGCGAAGAACCAAUGCAACAAUUCUCAGUAAACUCCUCAGGCACAAUCUCCGAAGCACCGUUACCAUCCGUUCCGUCCUCUUGAGGAAAAAGCUUCAGCGCCGGAGCUUGAGGAGGCUGAUUCUGAGACUUGAAGCUUAUGAAAGAUUUUGCUGUCUGAAACCAGUGCGAGCAAACGGAUUCGGAGACCAGAACAUCCGGGAAAGACAAGUGCUCAAAGAUUGAAUCCAGAAUUUCACUCGGAAUCUCUGCCCACUUCGAUGAUGUAAAGUUACAUAUCUUUCUCUUGAAGCAAGCCAUAACUAGAGUGUUUGCCGUGUAUAGAGAGUUUCUUUUCUAGAGUGAUGAAUAUAAUAGUGAAACGAGCAAAUGGGUGACUAGUAUGAUUUAUAGAUCAGUUGAAGCAUGUUACCUUGUUCAUAAAGGAAAGAGGCUUCCAAAAUAGUUUUAGGAACUAACUUGGAUUAGGAAUUCACAAUGCCCUUUUGGGUAAGGAAAUGGAAAUUAAAUAAUUAAGAGGCUUUAAAAUUAGAAACGGUGAAGGAUUUUGUUAGUAUACUUUUCCUUUUACGACUGGGAUAUGCAAUUGACUGGUUUUUGGUUUGGUAAGUGCAUAUGGGUCAAAUUGCUCGGAGUUAUUGGCGUGCAGCGGACGCUUUUUGCCCUUGGAGUUAACGUAACAGUUAUGUGGUUACCUUAAGAAGCAAGAAACAUUUUCUUCUAUUUCAGGAUACUGGGAACAAAAAAUAUUCAGGUUUCCAAUAGAUAAAUGUUCUUGUACUUGUGAUACGCGUUCUAAUCCUUUCCAAAUAAAUAUAUAAUGAAUUUUGCAAUUUGCUUCGGUCCUUGCUACGUAAUUUAUGGUCUUAUUACCUCCAGUUUUUAAGAUAAGAUAAUUAUUCAUUCCACUUAUCAAUUUUGAACAAUGCUACUUACUAUAGAUAAACAUUCUAGAAUUACAUAACAAACAGGGGAGAUGUAGGAGUGAAAUUUUGAUUGAAUAGGUUUCUUAACACGUUCUCAUUAUGGACAUAAAGGCAAUAAUUAAUCGUAAACUUUAACUUAUUUAAGGUAAAACUAAGAACAGCGGAGUAGGUCUCGCCUUUAUUUUGUAGAUUUUCGAGCUUAGCUCUUUAGAGCCGGCCUAUUGCCGUGAUUGUAGAAACUUAAACAGUUUGGUUUCCUUGAUUGUAAUAUAAUAAGAGAGGCAACAUAUUAGAGCCUCGAGUAUUGCGGUUUGCUGAUGAUUUAGAAUAGCUGGAAAUGACCCUCAAGUAAAAGCAAGAAGUAUGUGUGUAAUUGAACAAAGAGAGGCUGUAAUCGUAUAGAUUCUGUUCAAUUGCUGUUAUUAUAUAAAGUAAUACGCCUUUUUGGAAACUUGGGAAAUAUUUAUCAAGUAAUCAAGUUCUCUAUAUUUCGGGAAUCAAAAUUGUCAAUAUUUUAGAAACAUGACAAUGCAAUAAAAUUCCAAAUAAUUCUGAAAAACAAGUAACUAAUAGUAGUAUUAUAACACACAUGCAAAAGCUAGAUUUAAUAAUUUUUUUUUUUCAAAUGAAACCAUCCAGCACUAGUACAAUAGCAGUAGUAUCAGUUCUGGCCACUCUAUACAACCUUCACACAGUAGGCAAGAAAUACAUUCAUUUUUUCCAUUUUUACAAUUGAUAACCCAGCAAGAACCACCAAGCUACUUGUAUUUGGCAUGAUUACAUAAAGACAGUGGAUUAAUAAUCUAGAAAAAACAAAAAACAAAAGUCUCAAACCUAUAGUUAGCUUGAGCAAAAGAUGAUGCAUCAUCUCAAAAGCCUUGCCUUUCCAAAAGGUGUUGUAUAAUCUAAUCUCUCAAAAGAAUUAGUUAACGGGAUUAGGUAAGUCUGCCUUCCUUUAUCAUUACACUAUUAAUUGAUCUGCCAUAUGCUGGAUGCUCUAACUGUUUCAGUUUCAUUCUUGAGUGAGUUGUCCUAAAUGAUUAAAAGAACAAACAUAAAGAGUUAAUAUUAGUUAUAAAAGUAGUUAAGUAAUCAAAUUAAAAGAUGAAACCAAAAUUUAAAGGAAACCGAGUUCACCAUUGUCAAAGACAGUGGACUGUGAUGUAGCCACUUCAGUCGUAGUUUGUUGGGGCCUUAGACUUCCUUCUCCAUUCUUCCUCUGAAUCAGACAAUGACAAAAAAUUAGGCAUUUUAUGCUGCAAUUAUAUAAGAAAUCAUUAGUAAAUAGCUUAAAUUUGACUAACCUUUUUGCUUGAUUGCUUUUCACUUUGGUAGGUCCUUUUAUUGUGUCCCCAGUGGUUGCAUCUGGAGCACCUUAGACUACAGCUUCUCUUGAAUGCAACAGGUUCAUCAGCCUCCCUCUGUCUCUUGUUCUGUGGCCUCCCAGCAGAUUUGGUUACAAGUGGUGGCUGUAGAUUGUCAGUCAGCACCAAUGGCCAUUUAGUCUCAUCUGGCACAGGCUUGAAUUGGUGCUGGUAAGUGCCUAAAAAAGAAGUCUUCUUCAAGUAAUUGUGCACAUAAUCCUCAACUUUCAACCUUUUCGCAUCAAUAGAACAUAUUGCGUGUUUACAAGGUAGCCCCAAGAUUUGCCACUCCCCACAAUCGCACUUCUUAUUACCAAUGUCAACAACAAAUGCUUUAGAUGCAUCUUCGAAUACUUCAAAUGUGUUUUCAUGCCCAAAAAUAACAGACAACCCUCUUGCCUCCAUCCUUGCCUCAACCAUUUUUCUCCUCACCAAUGGUGGCAGCUCCUCAUUCCAUCUUUUAGUAGCUUCAUGCCUUGUAUGAAUCAACCUCAUAAUCUUCCUCUUUAUUUCUUCUAACAUCCUCACAACAGGCAUCACUCUGUAGCCAUUAAUCUAAUUAUUGAAAGAUUCGGUCAUGUUAUUAGUCACAUGUGCGCAUUUUGUGAAGGGUGGGAAUGUAUGCUUGACCCAAUGCUGGAUAGGUAUCUCCAUUAGCCAUUUAUGGCCGGAACUACUAAUUGCUUUCAACUUCUCCAUUUGCUCAUUGAACUCAGUACAAUUUGGGCUGCUACAAGCCCUCCAGAAUGUCUUCUUCAAUAAUAAACCAGGAAACUUCAUUUUGAAGUUGGCAUAGAUAUGCCUGCAGCAGUACCUCUUUAAUUUGCUCAUAUAAUUUUUCCAUAAAAUACACCCAAGAGUUAGUAUUUUCAUUUUCGACAAUGCACAUUGCAGGGGGAUAUAUCCCAAAAUUAGCAUCAAUGCUGACAGCAAUUACUAAUACUCAUUUGUAAGGACCUUUGAGGUGACAACCAUCGACUCCUACAAACUGUCUACAUCCCUCGAAAAAACCUCGUCUACUACCAUCAAUGAACAUGAAGAACCUCUUAAAAACUGGAUUUGCAGCACCACCAAGCCAAUCCCUUUCUAAAGAGACAGUAGAUCCAAGAUUGGUUUCCAACAGAGCAUGCAUAUAUCGAAAGAGUUUGCUGUAACUCUUCUCAUGGUCCUGCCCCAGCAGCUCCAUUGCCUUGUUUUUAGCUCUGUACAGCAUGUGCAAACUACAUUCAAACCCAUAUUUUUUAAACAUAUCAGCAGCAAUCACCUUCACACUAAUAUCAGGAGUUGCUUUGAAUACAUGUAAGUACUGGGCUGCAAUCCAAGCUGGACUUGCUUCACGGUUAUUAACAUCAUCUCUUGCACAUGUAUGCUCAGGACAGUAGGUCUUACAUCCGCCUUGGCCGUACAGCAGAUGCAAUAAAAUUCCAAAUAAUUCUGAAAAACAAGUAACUAAUAGUAGUAUUAUAACACACAUGCAAAAGCUAGAUUUAAUAAUUUUUUUUUUUUUCAUCACUAGGUUUCGGUACUACAUUACCAAGAUACUUUGCUACAUUUUCUGUAUCAUCAGUACUUGAAGGUGAAAUCUUAUUCUCUAGCACUGAUACUGAAUUUUCAGGAUGCAUAUUUGAAUUAAGAGCAGAAAAUUUGGCCAAGAUUUCUUCAUCAGCAAAACCAGACCAAUCCAUGUCAGGUUCAAGGUUUAAGUUAACAGAAACUUGAUUUGCAGGAGUGCAAAAAUCUAUGGAAUUAUCAUUGCUACUGAUUGGAUGAUCAAAUGAUUUAUAAGUUGGUUUUAGACCAAUAGAAGUAUUCACAAUAAACCUAGCCCAACGAUAUUCUUUUUCCCUCAACUUUUGAAAUGCAUCUUGCAUGUCAUUAUCAUUAAACAUGUUCUGGUACUCAGAAGACCAAGAGAGCAUCACUUUGUACUCCCUUGUAGAUGCAUACCUGAUAGGUGUAUCAUAACAUAUGUCAAUGAUGUCUGCCCACAACUUAGUUAGGGUGUACUUAUCAGGUAGAACACUACCAAUCUCAAUUACUGAGCCAUCAACUACAGCUCUAACAUAAAAGAAAACACAGCUGCAAGUGGUCAUCAACAUAUGCAUUAGAGACAAUGAUAGCAAAUAGGUAAAAAUUCCUGCUGUACCGUACAUCCGCCUUGGCCGUACAGCAGUCUAAUAAAUAGAGAAAUUUUCUUUCAUAUUUGAUAGAACACUACCAAUCUCAAUUACUGAGCCAUCAACUACAGCUCUAACAUAAAAGAAAACACAGCUGCAAGUGGUCAUCAACAUAUGCAUUAGAGACAAUGAUAGCAAAUAGGUAAAAAUUCCAUCGUUUGACAACAAAAACAGUGUCCCAUAAACCAAGUGCAGUUCAAGUUAUACCAAGUGCAGUUCAAGUUCUUACAUUAAUCAAGUGAGCAGAAUUUCUGUGCAGAAGGGGCGUCUUUGGGAAUUCAACUGUACUGCAUGAGAUCGAAUUAAUUUUCGAGCCAUACAUCAUUGGAAAGAUAUUUCUGUUAGCUUUCCAAUGAAUUUUACUAAUCUAAAUUUCUAAUUUCAAUUUUGAUUUUACCUAAGCCAUGUAUAUAAAUUACAAUAUCUUUUUGAGUUAUCUAUAAAUAAAAAGUAGAUAAGAGUGUGUUUUCAAACAACUCACCUAUAAUUUGCUUCGACAUAGAUGUUCGUGCUUGUGGGUCGCCGGCGAAACUCACUGCGAUACAUCGUGGACCAGUGGUUCAUGCUUGUGGUUUGUGCUUCAAUACGGUCCUUUGCAGAGACAAGAAGUAAAGUAGCUUCUGGAAUGUUUCACAAUAAACAAAUGGACUUGAACUAAGCUCUGAAAUGAUCUUCAACGACAGAUGAGAUGAGCAUUAUCAUACAAAUCAGCCACAUCCUCAAAUCAAAACCACCGCUGCAGGUGCUGCUACUCGUUGCCACUGUAAGCUACUGCUCGUCAAUUUGGUAAUCCUCUGUGAUGAUCAGAAAUCGUCUUUGUAUCCAGGGUUUUAUACAAUGAUGGUGGUGGUCAUAUUUGUUUUUGCUUUCAUUUUUUGUUUUUAGUUUUUAAGAUUAUUAAAAAAAAAUGAUAGCAAAGAGAUGCAUUGUUUGAAACGAAACCAAACUUCUUUUUGCAAGUUUGGUUUUUAUUUGUGUUAGAACAUCAGUAACUGAAAUGACUAGCUACUAUUCUCAAGGCAACGAAAGUUGCAAAAGAUUUGUUUUAUUGCGAAAUGUCAACAAUGCCCACAACUACCCAAACGGCAACCAAACGGAGCAAAAACGUAGGGGGUCUUUUACAAAUAAACGGAUUCUCGCCAUCUACUUGCCCAUAUGGUAUUAUUAGUUAAUUGAACAAAAAAUAAUUAAAAACACUAAUUCACUAUAUAGUGUAUUCUUAGAUGUGGGUGCCCUAAUUUGUUCUAAUCGAACACGCUGUUAAACCAUGUAGUUUAAUAGAGUUAUUUUAAUGUAUUAUAAAAUUGUGUAGUUUAAUAACAUUAAAAUUUGACUUUAUUAAAUUGCAUGGCUUGAAAGUAUGUUUAUAUUAAAAAAAUGAGAGCACUAACACUAAAGAAAGAAUAUAUAUAAACUUUCUUUGGAUGGCUGAAAUUGCAAGCAUAAACUUUCUUUAAUGGAUUUUCAAUGUUCUCACAUGUUUAGAGAGAAUAACUGUGCUAUAAUUAUAUUGCUAAUUUGGGUCUCCUACGUGAUAAUUUAUUUUGGUGGCAAAUGCCUCUGUUAAAAUUUAUUAGUUUUUAUCUCCAGAAGGAAAUGGUCUCCUAUUGGAGAAUUUCUUUUCAAGGUAUAUUCAACUAUUGCUUUACUUAAGGUAAGACUCAAUAUGUACCUUCAGUAACUGAUAUUGUUCGUUCUUUUUAUUUAUUUUAAUAAACUUGAUCGCUUAGUAGAGGUUCAUUUCAGAAAUAAAAAUAAAAAUAAAAUAAACACACCGAUCAUAAUAGAAAGAAGAAAAACAAGUACUUGAAGCCCGCAAUUACCCCACGGCAGACAAAUAUUAUAUGAUAGUGAUGGCUUUAGGUAGAUUAAUGAAGUGCUCUUCCAUCAUCCUCUAGGAUUGUAUCUUUAAAAGAUUUAUCAUAAGGAAUCAUAGGCACAACAUGCUCUUGAUAGGAAACCAUCACAUCCAGUAAGUACGGUCCUGGAGUUUCUAGCAUUAACUGAAUAGCAGCUCUAACAUCUUUCUUUUUUGUCACUCGAGCUGCAGGAAUCCCACAGGCUUCCGCAAAUUUCAACAUAUCUGGAAAUAUUUCAGACUUUCUUAAUGGAUCUCCCAGAAACGAGUUAGCUCUAUUUGCUUCAAAAUACCGAUCCUCGUAUUCCACAUUCAUGCCCAAGUAUUGAUUAUUUAUCAGCAAUAUCUUAACAGGGAUAUUCUCAGCCUUGAUGGCAGCCAAUUCUUGUAGAUUCAUAAUGAAACUUCCAUCACCAUCGAUGUCUACAACGAUUGCUCCUGGGUUAGCAACAGCAGCUCCCAUAGCAGCAGGCAGUCCAAAGCCCAUGGAUCCAAAUCCUGAGGACGUUAACAGUUGGCGAGCCCUCUUAUACAUGUAAAACUGAAUAGCCCACAUUUGAUGUUGUCCUACUCCUGUACUUAUAAUUGUUUCUUCAUCAUCAGUCAACUCAUUAAGAAUUUGAAUCGCGUACUGAGGUGGAAUCUCUUCCCCAAAUGUCUUAUAACUGAAUGGAUAUUUCUUUUUUUGCUCAUGAAGCUCCUCCCUCCAAGCUGAAAAAUCAAACAUAAAUCCAACUCCUUUACUUUCCAAUAUCAUAUUCAUCCUAUUAAACACCAACUUUGCAUCCGCACAAAUGGACACGUCAGGCAGCUUAACCUUCCCAAUCUCAUUGGAAUCAAUAUCAAUAUGAACAAUCUUAGCUCGGGUUGCAAAAUCCUCAAGCUUUGAUGUCAUACGUUCAUUAAACCUAACCCCAGCAGCAAGGAGCAAGUCACAUUCAUUCACAGCAUAGUUAGCAUAAACAGUUCCGAACAUUCCUACCAUCCGCAAACAUAACUCAUCUGUACAAGGAAACAACCCUAGACCCAUCGUUGUGCAUGUUACUGGUAUACCCGUCAGCCCAACAAACUUCCUUAACUCCUCACUAGAGUUCAAACAGCCACCACCUACACAUAACACAGGAUUCUUCGACUCCACAAUUAACUUUAAAGUCUGCCGCAAGGCUAACUCAUCCGGCUCUUUAGGUAAACUAGAAAUGCAACUAGGUAACUUACAUGGCUGGUUCCAAUUCGGAACAGCUAGCUCUAGUUGUACAUCCACUGGUAUAUCGAUUAAGACAGGGCCUGGCCGGCCUGAUGUUGCUAAGAAGAAUGCCUCCUUGAUGAUCCUAGGAAUGUCAUCGACAUCAAGGACAAGAUAAUUGUGUUUUGUCAUAUAGCGGGUCACCUCCACUACAGGGGUUUCUUGAAAUGCGUCAGUACCCAAGAGUUUUUGGGAAACCUGACCAGUGAUGGCCAAAAUGGGGAUACUGUCAGAAUAGGCAUCCAUGAGGCCAGUCAUUAUAUUGGUGACGCCAGGUCCAGACGAAACAAGACAGACGCCAGGUGUUCCGGAGGAGCGGGCAUAGCCUUCUGCAGCGAAGAUACCACCUUGUUCAUGGCGAGGGAGAAUGCUCCGGAUGUCGGAGCGCGUGAGAGAUUGGUGGAUCUCAAUGGACGCGCCACCAGGAUAAGCAAAGACUGUGGUGACACCUUGGCGUUCCAGGGCUUCCACGAUAAUGUCAGCACCUUUUCGAGGCUUGUCUGGAGCAAAUCUGGAAGCAAAAUCUGUUUGUUGGAAUGGCGCGGUACUGGUUGGUAUAUUGAGAGUAUUGUUCGUGACGUGGAGGCUGGGCUUUUUGAUCCGAUUAUAAGAAUAAGGAAGCGGCAUAAGCGGUCGGGAUAUUGUCGGUGGAGAUUUGGGGGUGUUGAAGAUGAACGGCGGGGAUAAGGUGGUUGCCAUUAAUGCAAGUGCUGCAAGGAACUUGGAGAAGCUAUAGUUGCUGCUAAAGAUACAUAGUUACUAUGUCCGCAAUGCUAUAUAUAAAAAAAUGUUUCACGUGGUUCGCUCUUCUUUUGAAAAUACAACACGUUUUUUUAUUACUUUUUUAAAUGAAUUCUCAACAUUUUCUUCCAACGGAUUAGGAUUCCACCUGUUUCUGCUUAGUAAAAUUAUUGAUGGAUCUGAUUGAUAGUUAAUAGAUAAAAAUAUGAGAUUAGUUUAAUACUAGUCAUAUACUCGGGGCGUGCUCAUUAAAAUUUUAUUACUUAGGAAAAUUUUCAAAAUUAGGCCAUUUUAUUUAACAUAAAAUCCAUGAUAUUGAUUGAAACUUUUGUGAUAAAUAUGUACUUUAAGAUGUAGUUUUCAGGUACAAAAUCCUUAUUAGAUUUUGUACAAAUAUCAAUUUUGAACUUUUUCUCUUGGUUAUACUCAAAUUCAAGUAUGUCUAAUUUUUAGAUAUUAUAAAGAACAAGAGAUUGUGUUUUCUUUCAAGUGGAUAAGCUGUUAAGCAAAUAAGUUAUCUGGGAAUUUCACUUUCCAAAUCGAGAAUAAUUUUUCACAAAAUCUUAGUGGAGCCUAAAUUUGAGUAAGAUUAAAUGAUAAAUAAUAGACAAAUAUUGAAAUUCCAUUUUUUAAACAAGAAAAAAAUGCAAACAAAUUUAGAAAAGAAAAACUUUUUUUUUCUUUCAAAAAGAUAGUGUGAUAUAGAGGGAAAGGCGAUUAAACAACAUGAAAUAUCUUGUCGAAAUUAAUACGUUCAAAUCUCCAAUGCCUUGACCUUUCAUGAUAUUAUGAGAAUUAAAUGAGAACCUCUCUUGAAUAACUGUUGAUGUGAGUUAUCUUAACAAAGCCUUUAAAAAUUUUGUGUCAUAUGCCUAUUAUUAAAGAUAAUAAACUCCUACGCCCAUUCCGAUGAUGAGAAUCCUCCACUUGAUGUAAAUGAAGCAUGUUCCAACUAACCCAAUCAAAAGCCUGUUGGCAAUAGUGUAUCAGGAGUAGCUUUAGAGCUGGCAAAAUUUGACACGACCCGAUUACCCGACACGAACACGACAUAAAUAAAUGGGUAUGGGUCGUCAAAUUUAACAUGAUUAUUAAAUGGGUCGGGUCCGGGUCAACACGAUUUUUUUCCGUGUCGGGUUAGGGUUAAAAUUCUUGACCCAUUUACCCGAUCAAUGACCCGAUUAUAUUUUCUAUUUUAAAAUAAUUUACAUAUUCUUAUCAUUAAAACUCAAAUAUUAGAAAUGAUUUUCUUUUUUUUAUUCUUUAAAAGGGUGAAUAUAAAUACAAUGUUUUAUUUAUAAAAUUUUAAAUACAUUUAGAGCUUCAAUAGUGUAAAUGUGUAAAAAUUGAUAGACAUGUAUAUUUUAUAAUAUUGAUAUAUAAUUAUAUAUAUAUAUAAUUAAAACCUCAAUAGUGUAAAUGUGUAAUAUAUUGGUAGAUAUGUAUAUUUUAUAAUAUCAAUAAAUUAUGUAUGUAUGUAUGUAUGUAUGUAUGUAUGUACAUACGUAUGUAUGAUAGUGUGUAAAUAUUUUAUGUAACUUUUGUUCAAUAUAUAGAUAUUAAACAGGGUUAUUGGAUAACCCGAUUAUUUUUCCGUGUCGGGUUUGGGUCUCAAUAUUUUGACACGAUUAUUAAAUGGGUCGGGUUUGGGUCGACCUAAAUUUGACACGACAACGACCCGAUGACUCGUUUUGCCAGCUCUAAGUAGCUUAACCCUUAAUACAAUUUCGGCAACUGCUAGGGUCUCUCUUAAAAUUAAGGCCCCAACCCCAUCUUAGCACAUAUUCUCAAUAAUAAAAGAUUAUUUUACAAUUAUUUUAUUGUUUAAAAAUUGAAUUAUUAUAUUUGUGAACCCGUGUUUAAGUGUGAAGUCCAUAUGAAAUUUUUAUCCGAAAGAAACUAAAAUACUCAAAAAAAUACGAACUCCAAUACACUAAAAGUCGAAAAUUUUAUUUUCUUGUUUAAAACAUCAAAUUUCAAUAUUUGUCCAUCAUUUACAAUAAAAUAUUAUUUGAAUUUAGGCCCCACCAAGAUUUUAUUUGUUUAAUGACUUCUCUACCUGAAAAAGAAUUGUUCAAGGCAAUACUUGUUUCCUUCAAACUAAAACACAAGCUCUUAUUCUUUAUAAUCGCUGAAAAUUACACAUACGUGAACAUAACCAAGAAAAAAACUUCGAAAUUAACAUCUUGUAAAAAAUCUGAUAAGGAUUUUAUAUCUAAAAAAUAAAUCUUAAAUACAUAUUUAUCACAAUCAGUAUCAUUAAUUUUAAGGACUUGACUAGCUUACAGAAUCUGUAAGCUACAGACUGCAGCAUCAGCCGUUGGAUGUGGUUGGAAGUGGAGUGAGAAACUAAACAAUAGAAGAUCGGAUGGUGGGAUGACGGGAGAUGUUUGUUACAGAAUCUGUACCAUAGACAGGUCCUAAUUUUAAUGUAAAUAAAAUUGCCUAAUUUUGAAAUUUUCCCGAAGGCCUAAAUUUUAUUGAGCCGCCCCAACCUGUUAUGAAUCCUGUGAUAUAUUGUGUGGUUUAAAAAAAAAAAAAGAGAGAAAACAAAGAAAGUCAACAAGCCCCAGCAAGCUGAUAGUCGAGGAAUUUAAAUUAGAGUAAUUAUUUCAGUGCCCCGGUGACUUUCACUUGACUGUGACAUAUAUAAUUCAGGAUAAUAAUUAUUUCCAAAGAUGUGAAUUUAAAACUCAAAAAAGAAAAAGUAUUUUUUGACAGUAACGGAGUAAAUGCAGAAGUGUUUUGAAGUAUUCUAAAAAAAUUAUAAGGACAAAGAGACAAUUGGAGCAAACUUAAGGGGUGAAAAGGAAAUUUAUCCUUAUAUAAACCAAACCCUUCUUGCCUUUUCUAAACCAAACCUUUCUUGCCUUUUCUUCUGAAUCAUUGCCAAAACGACAAUCAGCUAUCCGUUUUUGCCACUCUUCUUCUUAUUCUGUCUCACUGUCGCGGCAGCAAAUACAGCUUAACCGACGAUACCUGGAACCGAACCCACCAAUGGCUGCAUGCAACCCAUGGAACGGAGGCCGGUCCGGCGAGAGGUGUACGGAAGGAUCUAUGACAUCACCCACCGUAUCACAAACUGCAUGCCGGUAUAUGCAGAUCAGGUUGAUGGAGUCGGGGUACUCUUAUGGCUUACUGACUGUACGAAGAACGGCUCGUUGAGUAAUAUUUCGGAGCUGAGAUUCACGUCACAUACGGGAACACAUACUGAUGCCCUGGCCAUGUUUUUGAUCAUUAUUAUGAUGCUGGCUUUGAUGCCGAUGCUGUUGAUUUGGAAGUUUCGAACGGUAAUUAUGUUUUAUCCUCAGCAUAUAUAACGGAGCAAUCACAUUUAAACAGAAAAUUUAGACGGUAAUCGGUGAUAAAUCGAUCUUGGUUUUUACACUUAAUAGAAAAUAAAGUAAAAUCGAUGAAAUUUAUCACUAUUUCUGACAACUCUAUUAAUACACUAUAUCUCUUUAUUUUUUGCCAUAUAAUAUUAAUAUUAUUAUAAGCUUUCGGCUCCAAUCAAGAAAGCAUCUUCUUUCCCGUUCAAUUUACCACACACACACACACACAUAUACAUAUAGUAAUACAAAUAUUUUAAUCUUGGAUCUUAGACUUUGUCAAAGUCUGAGAUUAUAUUAUUAAACUAUAUGUCCUAAUAUUUUUUCUAAAUUUUAAUAAAGUUUAAGAUUUUUAACCAGACCAAUACUCUAUAUCAUACUAUUGAAAUAUAUUAAAUUUUUAUUUUUUAAAUUUUUAUUGAAAUAUACUUAAUUUUUAUUCUAUUUUUUUUUAUUUUUUCAAUGGAGUUUAAUUAUAUUGAAUGAAGUUAAAAUAAUGGCAGACACAAAUUAAAGUGUCAGUUGAGAAAGAAAAUCUAACACGUAAUCACAAAAUCACGAUUAAUGAAAUCAUAUUAACCGAUUGCGGUUGGCAUAGUAGAGUAUUUAGUUAUGUAACCACCAAAUUGUUAAGUCCAAAUUAAAUCUUUAAUCCCAUACCUCUCUAAAAUUUGAACAUUGUUCAAAAAGAAAAGUCAUUGGGGGCAAAUAGUCAUAUAGAGCUCUAAAUUUUUAAUAAGGGAUAUUAAGACCCCUUUUAACUAUUAUACCCUUUAAAAAUAGUAACUAAGAAAAUUAACUUUAAAUUGUUUUAUAAACAAACAUAUAAUUUAAAUAGUUUAAUUUGUCUAGUAAACUAAUAAUAUUAGAAUGUUUUUAAUAUAUUUAUAAUGGAUAUUAUUAUAAUUAUUUUAAUAAUGUAUUUUUAUAUAUUAUAAAUAUUUUAAGUAAAUCUUUGGGUUAAAUAUAUUUUACAAUUAAUAAAAUAUAUCUCAUAUAUUAAUAAUAUUAAAAUUAGUUUAUACAAUAUUGAAAUAAUUUAAAUUUUAAUAUUACGUUUCUAUUUAUUAUAAAAUUUAGUUUAAUAUUUAUUAUAAGGCGUUGGAGUCAACUUUUAUAAGUUAAUAAAGUUAAAGGGUAUUACAGUUAAAAGAGAGUGUUGGUAUCUCUUAUUGAAAACAUUAGAGUUUAAAAGAUUAUUUCCUCAAACCUUAGGACAUAAGUGUUCUUUUCCCUAAGAUUUGUAAUAAAUUUGUUUUAAAUUCAAUGUUUUAUUAUUUGCGGGACCUACAAAACCCCUGCUGAUGAAUUACUUAUUUGCAGCCAACUGUACAUUAAUUAUAUGUAGAUUGUGCUCAAUUUUGACCCAAAAUCCUUCUAAUAAUUCAUAGAAAAAAAAUAACACUACACAUACAAUCAUUUUGACACACCAAGACAUACAUAUGUGCCACAGAUUUUGUUGCGAAUUGUUUGCCAGUGAAAUUAAUUGUUCAAUUUUUUUUGAAUGUCGACGGUAAUUGCUAAUUGCUGGGUGACAUAUAUAUAGGCCCUGGCCUAUUAUUAGUUGAUGUUCCAAGAGAUAAAAACAUAUCAGGUGCGUAGUCUGAUCCUUUUCAUUCAAUUUCUGGUUAUAAAUUAUAAUUUUACUUUAAUCCGUUGAAUAAUUUUUUCAAAUUUAGUGAUCAUAUUGAUUGAUUAGUUAAUUUGAUGAAAAAAUUAUUCUUUGUCAUCUCACCAACUGGUCACUGAUUUCUUUAACUAUUAAUCUGUAUAUUAAUUUUUGUAUUGUAUACACACACACAUAGAGUCCUGCUCAGGUACGGUUGUGUAAAUAUUUACACAAAUGUCGUGCAGUCCUUUUAUGGCUUACAACAUUUUACUAGUCGUAAAAGUGUUCAUUUGCAUGAAAAUUUGUGCAGUCAUCUAUAUAUAUAUAUAUAUAUAUUAUUGAGGGGCUUGGCUUAAGAUUUAUAGGGUAUCCAAUAAAAAAAAAUUACCCAAUAAAAUUACCCUAUUGGGUGAAGUGAUUUAUUCUCCUUAUAAACCUAAAUAUAUUUUUUUAACUGAAAAAUAUGAUUAUAGUUAUAGGUAUCCAACUCGAAAGACUAACCAAUUGGGUGGAGUGACCUAUUCUCUUUAUAAACCUAAGUAUCUCUCCUUUACUAACCAAUGUGGACACAACUCAACAAUUCAUUUAUUAGUCAUGAGCUUCGCACGUGAUACUUUUGUUUUUCAUUCAGCUCUAAAACGACAUCAAUUCUAGCCGUCCUGAGCAAGAAUAAGUGAUUCAUGGGAAGAAGCACGUGACUUGAGAAUCUAAGCCGUUAGAAGUCUGCUGUACCGUACAUCCGCCUUGGCCGUACAGCAGGUUUAACUUUUCCUUUCACAUGUUCUUGCACAUACACAUAGAAUGACGACAAUAACCAAAAAUGAAAGGGAAAACAAGAAAGAAGUCCAUCUAAUUUGUAAAGUGCUUUUUCAGCCGAGCAAUCAACCUAUUUUGACUUACAACUGCAGUGUUCUAUAGGCUGCUUUCUCAUACUUCUAUUGUGCAACAUUUCAACCUAUCCUCUUUAUCACAACACAACCAAGGUUUUGUAGAUGCAUGGGAUGCAGCAUAAGUAAAUCUAACACAUAAUUGGGAAGGAGAAUUGGUUUUAAUGAGUUCAGAUAUACCAUCUUCAUGAUCAAUGUGGUUGAUUUAUCCCAGUUAUUUGUUAACAUCAUUACUUAAAUAUUUGAGUAACUCUUUGAAGGCUGUUUAUCAUUGCAGGUCUGUGUCUCCACGACAAAUAGGAACUUCCCUGGACGGAUGGGACACAAGGAAGGUCAAAUAUAUCUUGCUUCUCCAUACACAGCUGCAGCAUCUGCUUUGACUGGUUAUGUCACUGAUCCAAGGGAGUUCUUGGAGUAGACUGAUCAAAUGCUGAAUCGAUCACGUAUGUACACUAUGUGAUAUCAUAUUCUUCUUGCCGAGGGACAAUGGCUAUGUGGAUGUGACUUAGAUCUGAAGAACUGUUUUCCCUUG